CCUACGGGACGCAGCAGCGAGGAAUAUUGGUCAAUGGGCGCAAGCCUGAACCAGCCAAGUCGCGUGAGGGAAGACGGCCCUACGGGUUGUAAACCUCUUUUGCCGGGGAGCAAGCCUGAGCACGUGUGCCCAGGCGGAGAGUACCCGGAGAAAAAGCAUCGGCUAACUCCGUGCCAGCAGCCGCGGUAAUACGGAGGAUGCGAGCGUUAUCCGGAUUUAUUGGGUUUAAAGGGUGCGUAGGCGGUCCGGAAAGUCAGCGGUAAAAGCCCGGGGCUCAACCCCGGCGAGCCGUUGAAACUGUCGGG
This 305-nucleotide ribosomal RNA is filed under the name uncultured bacterium. RNAcentral's name for it is "bacterial SSU rRNA". It matches the Rfam family "Bacterial small subunit ribosomal RNA", at positions 338 to 640 of the family's 1533-position model. The record is from RNAcentral.